UGCUACAAUGGCCGGUACAAAGAGAAGCGAGGCUGUGAAGCGGAGCAAAUCUCAAAAACCGGUCCCAGUUCGGAUUGUAGGCUGCAACUCGCCUACAUGAAGUCGGAGUUGCUAGUAAUCGCGGAUCAGAAUGCCGCGGUGAAUGCGUUCCCGGGUCUUGUACACACCGCCCGUCACACCAUGGAAGUUGGGGGCGCCCGAAGUUGCCUAAGAAAUAAGGUACCUAAGGCGAAACCAAUGACUGGGGUGAAGUCGUAACAAGGUAAC
RNAcentral lists this ribosomal RNA (267 nucleotides) under uncultured bacterium. RNAcentral's name for it is "partial 16S ribosomal RNA". It matches the Rfam family "Bacterial small subunit ribosomal RNA", at positions 1223 to 1500 of the family's 1533-position model. The record is from RNAcentral.